GGUAAGUUCUGUCUCUGAUCACGGUGCCCCGACGCGUGCUAACAAUCGUCACAGUAGGUGAACCUGCGGAAGGAUCAUUACCGAGUUCAUGCCCCUCGGGGUAGAUCUCCCACCCUUGCUUAUUUACUCUGUUGCUUUGGCGGGUCGUCCGCUCUGCGGCCACCGGCUCCGGCUGGUGUGCGCCCGUCAGAGGUCCACACACGCUAUUUCUUGGUGUUGUCUGAGUCCCAUACAAUCAUUAAAACUUUCA
RNAcentral lists this unclassified non-coding RNA (250 nucleotides) under plant metagenome. RNAcentral describes it as "partial contains small subunit ribosomal RNA, internal transcribed spacer 1, and 5.8S ribosomal RNA". The record is from RNAcentral.